This 293-nucleotide ribosomal RNA is filed under the name uncultured bacterium. Its description in RNAcentral is "partial 16S ribosomal RNA". It matches the Rfam family "Bacterial small subunit ribosomal RNA", at positions 775 to 1067 of the family's 1533-position model. The record is from RNAcentral.
GGAUUAGAUACCCUGGUAGUCCACGCCGUAAACGAUGGAUACUAGGUGUCGGGGGCUUGACCUUCGGCGCCGUAGCUAACGCGUUAAGUAUCCCGCCUGGGGAGUACGGUCGCAAGGCUGAAACUCAAAGAAAUUGACGGGGGCCCGCACAAGCGGUGGAGUAUGUGGUUUAAUUCGAUGCAACGCGAAGAACCUUACCUAGGUUUGACAUCCCGCGAAUUCGCCGUAAAUGGCGAAGUGCCCUUCGGGGAGCGCGGUGACAGGUGCUGCAUGGCUGUCGUCAGCUCGUGCUG